This 997-nucleotide long non-coding RNA is filed under the name Numida meleagris (helmeted guineafowl). RNAcentral describes it as "lncRNA (ENSNMEG00000004140.1)". The record is from RNAcentral. Lineage: Eukaryota; Metazoa; Chordata; Aves; Galliformes; Numididae.
GAUGUGGGGCAGAGGGCUGCACUAUGGGGCAGAGAGGCCACGAUGUGGGGCAGAGUGCUGCGAUGUGGGGCAGAGGGCCGCGAUGUGGGGCAGAGGGCUGCACUAUGGGGCAGAGCAGUGCGAUGUGGGGCGGAGGCCACAUGGGGAGGUCAGCAGUGGUGUUCUGUGGUUCAGUUGUGGGGCCGAGCCCCAUAGCGCGGCAGCUGUGGGUCAGGAUGUGGGGCAGAGCCAGUGGGCUGGUCAGUGGUGGUGGUGUUUGGUUUGGAUGUGGGGCAGAGCCCCAUAGCGCGGCAGCUGUGGGUCAGGAUGUGGGGCAGACGCCGCAUGGAGCCGUCAGCGGUCGUGUUCUUAGGUUCAGUUGUGGGGCAGAGCCCCAUAGCGCGGUGGUCGUGGGUCAGGAUGUGGGGCAGAGCCAGUGGGGCAGCGUCAGCAGGACAGGUUAUGGGGCAAAGUCCGUGUGGGGCGGUGCGCGCCGGGCAGGAUGUGGGGCACGGCCCCGCAACGUGGCCACGUGUCACUGUGACGCUAUGGGGCAGAGCCCCACAUAGGGGCGGUUAUGGGGCAGAGCCCCACAUUGGGGCGGUUAUGGGGCAGAGCCCAAUACAGCAGUGGGGUCCUGCAGUUAUGGGGCAGAGCCCCACACUGGGGCACUUAUGGGGCAGAGCCCAUAGAGCGGUGGGGUCCCGUGGUCAAGUUAUGGGGCAGAGCCCCACAUGGGGGCACUUAUGGGGCAGAGCCCAUAGAGCAGUGGGGUCCUGUGGUUUUGCUAUGGGGCAGAGCAACACAUUGGGGCAGUUAUGGGGCAGAGCCCCACAUGGGGGCACUUAUGGGGCAGAGCCCAUAGAGCGGUGGGGUCCUGUGGUUUUGCUAUGGGGCAGAGCCCCACAUUGGGGCAGUUAUGGGGCAGAGCCCAUAGAGCGGUGGGGUCCCGUGGUCACGCUAUGGGGCAGAGCCCCACAUUGGGGCACUUAUGGGGCAGAGCCCAUAGAGCGGUGGG